Molecule: long non-coding RNA, 698 nt
Filed under: Bos taurus (domestic cattle)
Lineage: Eukaryota; Metazoa; Chordata; Mammalia; Artiodactyla; Bovidae
Description: long non-coding RNA NONBTAT001832
Source: RNAcentral
UGCUGUGGCUAACACUACUGUACAUGUUUCAUCACUGCUCUGAAGGUCAAAAGCCUCAUUUUAUUUGGCUGGUUUGAUUUUUUCUUUUUUUUUUCCUAAAGGGGGAAAAAAAAAAAAAAAACCUGUCCUGAAUUAAAUAGCUGUUUUAACAGUAGGCUCUUAGCAUUACACCACAUAGUCAUUUUUCAUGUUCUUGUUUAACAGGCACUGAGGUUCUGGUUUAAAUUAAAUAGCUGCAAAUGAGACAAUUUAUAACCCAUUAGGUUGGGUGGAAAAUUGUUUCUCAAAAGCAAAUAAGUAAUAAAUCUGGUAUCUGCCUAUAACUCACAGUUGAUAAGAACAUGGCCAUUACUCACUAGCAUUAUAUAUGAUUUGGGCUCUGGGUAAUUUGGAAGUGUUAGGUUUGUGUCUUUGUAGCAGUAUUUUUAUUAGAAAAGAGUCCAUUGGCCUUUUACAGGGUAUUAAUCCUUUUGUCACCUACCAUGGAUGCCUUAUGGUUUUUGAGUCUCAUUUAAAAACCUUUUAUUGAUGCAUGACAAGUAUAAUCGGUACCUGCUCAUUUAUUUGUCUGUAGUUUUGCUGUAUUAUUUAAUUAUUUUCCAGCAUUUUUUUCUCCUUACAAUUAUGAUAUUCUUUAGUGUUAAGCCAAUGCAUUGAUCAUAUAUCUGUCCCUGUAAUGAAUUAAUAAACUAUUUUCC